GUGGGGAAUUUUGGACAAUGGGCGAAAGCCUGAUCCAGCCAUGCCGCGUGUGUGAAGAAGGUCUUCGGAUUGUAAAGCACUUUAAGUUGGGAGGAAGGGCAGUAAGUUAAUACCUUGCUGUUUUGACGUUACCAACAGAAUAAGCACCGGCUAACUUCGUGCCAGCAGCCGCGGUAAUACGAAGGGUGCAAGCGUUAAUCGGAAUUACUGGGCGUAAAGCGCGCGUAGGUGGUUUUGUAAGUUGGAGGUGAAAUCCCCGGGCUCAACCUGGGAACUGCUUUCAAAACUGCUGAGCUAGAGUACGGUAGAGGGUGGUGGAAUUUCCUGUGUAGCGGUGAAAUGCGUAGAUAUAGGAAGGAACACCAGUGGCGAAGGCGACCACCUGGACUGAUACUGACACUGAGGUGCGAAAGCGUGGGGAGCAAACAGGAUUAGAUACCCUAGUAGUCC
RNAcentral lists this ribosomal RNA (450 nucleotides) under uncultured bacterium. Its description in RNAcentral is "partial 16S ribosomal RNA". It matches the Rfam family "Bacterial small subunit ribosomal RNA", at positions 354 to 796 of the family's 1533-position model. The record is from RNAcentral.